AAUGGUCUGGGAUAAGCGUGACUCACAUAUGUCCAACCUAUAGUACACCUUCGGGAGCUUGAUGCUGUGCAGCUGUCGGACCGUCUUGAACGGAUGGCAAAAACAGAGCUAAGGCGCCCACCUGCUGAGCGCAGGUUUGGACAUAUACGGGAACGGUAUUUCGGACUUAAA
This 171-nucleotide non-coding RNA is filed under the name Anaerosporomusa subterranea. RNAcentral's name for it is "6S / SsrS RNA". It matches the Rfam family "6S / SsrS RNA". Rfam says of the family: E. coli 6S RNA was the first non coding RNA to be sequenced, but its function was unknown until recently. It consists of 184 nucleotides that fold into an extended hairpin structure with a large single-stranded internal bulge. The record is from Rfam by way of RNAcentral. Lineage: Bacteria; Bacillati; Bacillota; Negativicutes; Acetonemataceae.